CCAGACUCCUACGGGAGGCAGCAGUGAGGAAUAUUGGUCAAUGGGCGGGAGCCUGAACCAGCCAAGCCGCGUGAAGGAAGAAGGCGCCAGGCGUCGUAAACUUCUUUUGUCGGGGAACAAAGGGCGCCACGCGUGGCGUUGUGAGUGUACCCGAAGAAAAAGCAUCGGCUAACUCCGUGCCAGCAGCCGCGGUAAUACGGAGGAUGCGAGCGUUAUCCGGAUUUAUUGGGUUUAAAGGGUGCGUAGGCGGUCCGGAAAGUCAGCGGUAAAAGCCCGGGACCCACCCCCGGCGAGCCGUUGAAACUGGCAGUCUCGAGUUGGAGAGAAGUAUGCGGAAUGCGCGGUGUAGCGGUGAAAUGCAUAGAUAUCGCGCAGAACUCCGAUUGCGAAGGCAGCAUACCGGCGCCCGACUGACGCUGAGGCACGAAAGCGUGGGUAUCGAACAGGAUUAGAUACCCCCGUA
Molecule: ribosomal RNA, 463 nt
Filed under: uncultured bacterium
Lineage: Bacteria
Description: bacterial SSU rRNA
Rfam family: Bacterial small subunit ribosomal RNA
Source: RNAcentral